This is a long non-coding RNA of Xiphophorus couchianus (Monterrey platyfish), 959 nucleotides long. RefSeq lists it as uncharacterized. Lineage: Eukaryota; Metazoa; Chordata; Actinopteri; Cyprinodontiformes; Poeciliidae. The record is from RefSeq and is a predicted model, not a curated record. The transcript is spliced from 3 exons.
UUAGCUCCAUAUAAUUGCCCAUGAAGGAGCUCUAACGCUGAUUGGUUAUUGUGUUUUUGUAUCUGACUGUUUUGAUGACUGAUUGGUUAGAAGAGAUGUUUGAGUUUUCUCCUGGUUAAGUGGAGAUGGAAAGAGAAACCGGAAAGAUGUUGGACCUGAAUUCACCUAAAAGCAAACAGAUGAUGAGAAUCUGAUAUGCAAUUUUAAAAAGUUCCGAUUCGGUUCUGUUCGCGCCCCUGUGGAGGAUCUGGACCGGUUCUGGUGGAUCUGGACCCAGCUCUGGUUCUGGGUGCCGCUGGUGGAGGAGUGACGUCACACCUGAACUUUGGACUUCUGUCCAGGUGCUGAACAAACAGGAGGUGUGAGAAAUAGUUUUCAACCAGCUCAUUAACUCGGACUGGUUCUGUUUUACGCUUCCAGAACCGCAGAUGAAGUCAUGGAAACCCGCUGCUGGGAAACCGGUCGCCAUGGGUUACCAGCAUUCACCUGGGAUCUGCAGGAAAAGUUUCGGCAAACAGAGGAGAGCGGGAUUACCAGAGCGCAGACUGGUACCAUAACACCAACAGCGUCUCAGGCCCGUUUCCCACACACCAGGCCGAAACAUGUGGAAGCGUUUAAAGAUGGCAGCCUCCAAUCACCGCGUCGUCCGUCACCCGACACCGCCCUGAGAGGGCCGUGAACCCGACAGACCAGAGGUCAGCGGCGACGAGGCCAAGCUCCAGGGCGGACCGCGGGCCUCCGGACCGGGCCGACCGGCGCGUACCGGGCCGACCGGGCGCAACAUGAUCCAGGCAGGAUGUGGGCUGAUGCCGUUCGGGUCCAAACUCUUUACCUCCUGAGCCAAAACUGUCAACCUGAAAGUAACUGAUAUUUUAAAAUCUGGCAUUUAAAAAUUGAGAUAAAAAGCUAAAUGUUUGAUUUUUAUCUGCACAACUAACACAACACAAUAUUUUAAUAAC